Molecule: ribosomal RNA, 463 nt
Filed under: uncultured bacterium
Lineage: Bacteria
Description: bacterial SSU rRNA
Rfam family: Bacterial small subunit ribosomal RNA
Source: RNAcentral
CUUGCUUCCACUGAGAAGAUAGUGGCGGACGGGUGAGUAACACGUGGGUAACCUGCCCAUAAGAGGGGGGAUAACAUCCGGAAACGGGUGCUAAUACCGCAUAGUUUUCUUGAUCGCAUGAUUGAGAAAGGAAAGACGGCCUUUGUGCUGUCGCUUAUGGAUGGACCCGCGGCGUAUUAGUUAGUUGGUGAGGUAAUGGCUCACCAAGACGAUGAUACGUAGCCGACCUGAGAGGGUGAUCGGCCACAUUGGGACUGAGACACGGCCCAAACUCCUACGGGAGGCAGCAGUAGGGAAUCUUCCGCAAUGGACGAAAGUCUGACGGAGCAACGCCGCGUGAGUGAAGAAAGGUUUUUCGGAUCGUAAAACUCUGUUGUCAGAGAAGAACAAGUUGGAGAGUAACUGCUCCAGCCUUGACGGUAUCUGACCAGAAAGCCACGGCUAACUACGUGCCAGCCGCCGC